AGUGAACGCUGGCGGCAGGCCUAACACAUGCAAGUCGAGCGGCAGCACGGGUAGCAAUACCUGGUGGCGAGCGGCGGACGGGUGAGGAAUACAUCGGAAUCUGCCUUGUUGUGGGGGAUAACGUAGGGAAACUUACGCUAAUACCGCAUAAGACCGAGAGGUGAAAGCGGGGGAUCGAAAGACCUCGCGCGACAAGAUGAGCCGAUGUCGGAUUAGCUAGUUGGCGGGGAAAGGCCCACCAAGGCGACGAUCCGUAGCUGGUCUGAGAGGAUGAUCAGCCACACUGGAACUGAGACACGGUCCAGACUCCUACGGGAGGCAGCAGUGGGGAAUAUUGGACAAUGGGCGCAAGCCUGAUCCAGCCAUGCCGCGUGGGUGAAGAA
RNAcentral lists this ribosomal RNA (383 nucleotides) under uncultured bacterium. RNAcentral describes it as "bacterial SSU rRNA". It matches the Rfam family "Bacterial small subunit ribosomal RNA", at positions 30 to 412 of the family's 1533-position model. The record is from RNAcentral.